GUCUCGUCUCAAAAAAGAUUCAAUCUAUUUUUAUUACUACUACACCUUUGACAUUAAAACAUUGUUAAACAAGAAUGUAUCCAUAGUACAAGGAUGCCCCACUUGCACCUAUCAUUUUCUUUGUUCAGUGGACUGUAAAAUUGGGGCCAAAACUCUAAUUUGGCAUUAAAAUUAGAAAGAUCAUAUCAUAGGGAACAUGUGAAAAUGUACUAAUUUUCAAGUUGAUUGGACUUAACUUCAUCAAAAACUACCUUGACCAAAAACUUUAAACCAUAAACUUUAACCUGAAGCGCGACAGACGGAUGAACAAACAAAUGAAUGGAUGCACAGACCUAAAAACAUA
Molecule: long non-coding RNA, 343 nt
Filed under: Mytilus galloprovincialis (Mediterranean mussel)
Lineage: Eukaryota; Metazoa; Mollusca; Bivalvia; Mytilida; Mytilidae
Source: RNAcentral